CGCGUUCGGUCUCCACGGUUACGCGUCCGCUGCUAGGGCUCUGGGGCUGGCCGGGAGAGCCGCCGCUGGCUGGUGUUCCGGCAGGGGCCAGAGCCCCGGGAACCCCUUACCCUUAAACGACGGGUGUACCAGGAGAGAAGACGGACGUCCGACUGCUACGAAGCUGGUGCUGGUGCCACAAUGCCUCCCACUCAAGCAGAAAGUGUUAUAAAGAAUAUUAUACGAGAAAUAGGACAAGAAUGUGCAACCCAUGGAGAGAUUGCUUCAGAAACAGUGGUUGCUUUUAUGGUGAAAGCUGUUGUCCUGGAUCCAAGCAAUGGCUUUAACAUGGAUAGGACCCUCAUCAAAAGUGAUGUGCAGAAACUUGUUAAGCUUUGUGUGGCUCGACUAUUGGACAGUAAAAAUCCAUCCCUGGACACCAUUAAGAUGCAGGUCUACUUUGAUAUGAAUUACACAAGUCGAGAGGACUUUCUUGAAGAACAUCACCGCGUCUUAGAGUCCAGAUUAGGCGCCAUUAGCAGAGAAAUUACAGACAACAGAGCAUGUGCUAGAGAAGAACUGGAAAGUCUCUACAGAAAGAUUGUCAGCUAUGUGCUACUGCGAUCUGGGCUUGGGUCCCCCACAGACAUCAAGAUUGUCAGAGAGGCAACAGCUGCUCUGCAGAGUGUUUUUCCUCAGGCCGAGCUGGGGACGUUUCUGACUCUUAGUAAAAAGGACAAGGAACGGCAGCUGAAAGAGCUCACCAUGAUUGUUACCGGCAUCCGGUUGUUUAACAGAGACUGUGGGAAAGGAGGAGAAGGCAUUGAUGACUUGCCAGCUAUUCUCCACGAAGCAAUCCCAACCACCACACAGCAUAUCGACUCCCAGCUUCAGAUUGCCCAAGACCAGGCAUUUCGCUACACAGCCAUCCUUGAGAAAGUGUCGAAGAAUCCACUCAUGACCAAAGAGCUUGAGCCGUACAUGCUGAAGGAAGCAUUGUAUAAUAUUCGGCAGUAUGAGAUCUUCCUUCAGACCGUUUUGUCAGAUAUAAUUACUUGUGCUCAAGAAGUGGAAAUGAUGAUAAAACAAUUUGCAGCUCAACUGGAACAAUUGAAAAUGAUAGUAAAAUCAAAGACAGCUGUCCCAACAUCACAAGUCUUUCCUAUAUUUAUUGCUCUGGCAAGUCUGUGGAUGAGCUUCCAGGAUGAGACAGUGUUGAUUAGUGUCCUCAGCAAUUUGACCACUAACCUGGAGCUGUUCCUGGGCACGCAUGAGCUUCUCUUUCCUGAGAAAGUGAUUCACGGUCUUCUUGAUGAUGUCACUGUGAAAAGUGACAUAGCUAGGAUAAAGGAGCACAUGGAUGAAAGAGUACACUUGCCAGAUUUCAGAAAAAUGGAUUGGUUUUUCCCAGAAACAACAGCAAAUUUUGAUAAACUGCUAAUUCAGUACCGUGGAUUUUGUGGCUACACAUUUGCUUCAACAGACGGUCUUCUUCUCCCAGGAAAUCCAUCCAUUGGAAUUUUGAAACAUAAAGAAAAAUAUUACACUUUCAAUACCAGAGAUGCUGCAUAUUCAUUCGCAGAAAAUCCUGAACGUUAUAUUAACUUGAUUAAAGAAAAAGCCAAAAAGAAUGCAGAGCUAAUUCAGCUACUAGAACUUCAUCAACAGUUUGAAACUCUCAUACCAUAUUCUCAGUCUUCCUCAGCUCAGGCCUUCCAGAUGCAAAGUAGUCUCCGAUUACUGCUGGAACCAUGAGGACCCCAUCUGCAUCCUGAGCCAUGGACUUUUCACCUCCUUUGUAUUUAAGGUCAGGUGUUGUCUAUGACCUAUGAGCACCCCCUACCGCCCCACCCCCUACUGCCCUGCCCCCUGCACACCUUUUGUUCAUUUCUUCCCAGGAGUUCAGUGAUGGCAAUAUAUGAAUUUUCUAGUCCAUCAUCUAUUUUGGGUGUUUCUUCAUACUGACAUGGAGUGGAGUUGUUCAUCAAGGAAGCAUGCUGACCCAUGCCAUGUAGAGAAAGAUGGCCACCCCAGAAUCCUCCCUAAGCAUGCUCUACUCUGAGACAGCUCAGCUUUGGUUGCAGGUUAUUAUAUCUGUUGGAGAGUGCAUGCAUUGGCCACUACAGCAAGGACGCACACUAUCUCAUACCAUUUGGGGAACUGUAGUCAUACUGGGAUUGUCUCUGGAUUUCCUCCCUCAGAGGAAUCAGCUUCAGUUGCAUAUCUCAUCACCCUUCACAGGGUCCAAUUCACUUUCUCUUGUGUGAGACUGUAUUCAGACAUUGAUUGUGUUGUAUGAGUUUUCUGUGGGAGAUGAGAAUGAAUGUCUUUAUCCUAUAGAGGGCACUAACAGACUAAGGAAAAUAGAUCCCAUCCAUGCCUGUCUCGUUGAACCAGUGCGUUUAUUGGGGUUACCUACAGGAGCAUGAGUGACUGAAAAAGCAGUUGCAUUGCUGAAAAGCCCAUUUCUGCAUGGAUGAUAACUGGGGUAAGCUAUGUGCCUGGAACUUAGGUUCACUGGAUUGUCUCAUCCCCCCAGCAAAAAAAGCCCCUUUCUGCGUGGUUGAUGACCCAGAAAAGCUGCAUGCCCAGAACUUACUCCACUGUACAGUCUCCUCUUCCUAGCAAUUAAGUACUGCUUUGAUCAUAUCUGGGUUGGGGGGUGGUCCUGUAAAUCUUCUAACUGUGUGGGCUUCCCAAGCUGUGGUGGCUACUCUUGGUUGUCAACUUGACUAUAUCUGGAAUGAACUACAGUACCGAAACGGAGGACACACCUGUGGUUAGGAUCUUGAGGCAAAACAAGAUGCCUUGGAUCCAGAUCUUGAGGCUGGAAGACACACAUCUUUAAUCCAGACCUGGAGAUGAGAAAGCACACCUUUAACCUGGACCAGACCUUCUGCUGGAAGCCUCUAUGAGGACAAGGGAAGAAAGAAGGGUUUGUUCUUUGCCUGCUUGCUGUCACCUUGUCAGCACAUCCAUUCCUUCACUGUCAUUGGAGCCUACUUCAGGAGUCCAGCAUUUACAGAAGACCAGGUGGGACACUCAGCCUUGUGGGAAUGAGCAACUACUAGAUUCUUGGACUUUCUGUUCACAACUAGCCAUUGUUGGACUGCAGCCUAUGAGAGAUGUUGACAAGCAUUAUAUAAAACCAAUUACAAAGUGUGAAAACAGCACACAGACAGAUACGCACAUACUGCCGCCAACUACUGUG
Molecule: RNA transcript, 3190 nt
Organism: Peromyscus californicus insignis
Lineage: Eukaryota; Metazoa; Chordata; Mammalia; Rodentia; Cricetidae
Gene: Cfap206
Gene name: cilia and flagella associated protein 206
Exons: 13
Source: RefSeq, a predicted model, not a curated record